CACGCCGUAAACGAUGGAAGCUAGCCGUUGGUAAGCAUGCUUAUCAGUGGCGCAGCUAACGCAUUAAGCUUCCCGCCUGGGGAGUACGGUCGCAAGAUUAAAACUCAAAGGAAUUGACGG
This 120-nucleotide ribosomal RNA is filed under the name uncultured bacterium. RNAcentral describes it as "partial 16S ribosomal RNA". It matches the Rfam family "Bacterial small subunit ribosomal RNA", at positions 796 to 916 of the family's 1533-position model. The record is from RNAcentral.